RNAcentral lists this long non-coding RNA (1060 nucleotides) under Monodelphis domestica (gray short-tailed opossum). Its description in RNAcentral is "lncRNA (ENSMODG00000030898.2)". The record is from RNAcentral. Lineage: Eukaryota; Metazoa; Chordata; Mammalia; Didelphimorphia; Didelphidae.
CCCAGUGCAGCAGUGAUGUCAUCAUCAGUCUGGCCCUGGGAACCUGCAUUGUUAGCUCCGCAAAUAGAGAAAUCCCUACUCAAGCAUCGCAAAUGAGGGCAGGGGGAGAGCCUGUGGAGAGCCCCGGAUGGGGACUGUUGGCUCCCUCCCUCUCUUUGAGUUGUCAGCAGAUGAAUUCAGCAGGGAACAAAAGGAGCUGCAGCUGGUGGGAGAGAGGGAAAAGGGAGAGAAGCCCGAAUUCUGAUGGGAGAUGGGAAGCGGCGGGGGUGCUGAAGAGCCCCUCAGAGGAGGGGAAUGUGCCACCAGAAAGAGAGGGGAAAGACCCUAACGGUGUCCCCAGAAUGGGAGGUUCCAAGGCCUGGCUCAGCAUGUCCCUGAGGUGAGGAGGCAAGCUGUGGAGGCCAAGAGAGAAUCCAGGGCCACAGGUGUAGAGAUCAACCCAACAGGGCUAAGGGGCAACUUGUGGAGGCCAGAGAGCCAAAGAGAAAAGAGAAAGCCUACUAUGCCAGGCUCUCUCUCCCUCCCUCCCACUCCCUCUUUCCUUUCUCAUUCUCCCACCCCUUUUCUCUUUUACUCUCUUCCUCCUUCCCUCCCUCUUUCCACUCUCCUCUCUCUCUCUCCCCCCCCUUUUUUGUAUUUCUCUCUCCUUUGUCUCUCUGACUCUCCUCUGAAUGUCUCUUUCUUCUUUCUCUAUCUCUUUUGUUCUAUCUCUCCCUCUCUCCCUUUUAGAAUUCCCCUUGGCCCAUGCCAAGCUUCCACAUUGAGUGGGUUAUAAUGAAUCUUAUGAGUUUUAGAACUGAGAAAGUGAACCUGGAACCUCUUAUCAGUCAACCUGGAUCCUCUGAAGAGCUGGUCAGAAAAAAAGCUGGCUUGUGGAGAGGAGUCAUACAAUCAUAUGAUCAUAACACUUAGUCCUUGAAGAAACCUUAGCGAUCAUCUAGUCCAGAGGUGCCAUUCAUGAGAUCCACAUCCACAACACUCCCAAGUGUGGCCCAAACCAGAUUAAAAUAUAAUUAAGGAAUGUUUAACAAAAUAAAUAUCAUCUUCAUCAAGGAUGACA